GGAGGGGUGGCCGAGUUGGCCUAAGGCGGCACCCUGCUAAGGUGUUACUCGGGCAACCGGGUCGCGGGUUCGAAUCCCGCCCCCUCCGCCA
This 91-nucleotide transfer RNA is filed under the name Gemmatimonadota bacterium. RNAcentral describes it as "Gemmatimonadetes bacterium (soil metagenome) tRNA-Ser". It matches the Rfam family "tRNA". Rfam says of the family: Transfer RNA (tRNA) molecules are approximately 80 nucleotides in length. The record is from RNAcentral. Lineage: Bacteria; Pseudomonadati; Gemmatimonadota.